This 797-nucleotide ribosomal RNA is filed under the name uncultured Sphaerochaeta sp. Its description in RNAcentral is "bacterial SSU rRNA". It matches the Rfam family "Bacterial small subunit ribosomal RNA", at positions 8 to 795 of the family's 1533-position model. Lineage: Bacteria; Pseudomonadati; Spirochaetota; Spirochaetia; Spirochaetales; Sphaerochaetaceae. The record is from RNAcentral.
AGAGUUUGAUUAUGGCUCAGAACGAACGCUGGCGGCGCGUUUUAAGCAUGCAAGUCGAGCGGCAAGGGUCUUCGGGCCCCUAGAGCGGCGGACGGGUGAGUAACACGUGGACAAUCUGCCCCCCGGCCGGGGAUAGCCCAGGGAAACCUGGAUUAAUACCGGAUGAGACGGGACCCGCGGAGGCGGGAUCCGGGAAAGGCGCUGCGGCGCCGCCGGGGGAUGAGUCUGCGUCCCAUUAGCUUGACGGCGGGGUAACGGCCCACCGUGGCGACGAUGGGUAGCCGGCCUGAGAGGGUGGACGGCCACAUUGGAACUGAGACACGGUCCAGACUCCUACGGGAGGCAGCAGCUAAGAAUCUUCCGCAAUGGGCGAAAGCCUGACGGAGCGACGCCGCGUGAACGAAGAAGGCCGUGAGGUUGUAAAGUUCUUUUCGGGAGGGGGAACAACCGUGGCAGGGAAUGGCCGCGGGAUGACGUGAAUCCCGGAAUAAGCCCCGGCUAACUACGUGCCAGCAGCCGCGGUAACACGUAGGGGGCGAGCGUUGUUCGGAAUCAUUGGGCGUAAAGGGCGUGCAGGCGGUCCUGCAAGUCCGGCGUGAAAGACCCCGGCCCAACCGGGGGGGCGCGCUGGAAACUGCAGGGCUUGAGUACAGGAGGGGAUGCCGGAAUUCCAGGUGUAGGGGUGAAAUCUGUAGAUAUCUGGAGGAACACCAAUGGCGAAGGCAGGCAUCUGGCCAUGUACUGACGCUGAGACGCGAAGGUGCGGGGAGCAAACAGGAUUAGAUACCCUGGUAGUC